AGCGAACGUUAGCGGCGGGCUUAACACAUGCAAGUCGAGCGAGAAAGGGGCUUCGGCCCUGAGUACAGCGGCGGACGGGUGAAUAACACGUAGGUAACCUUCCUUCCAGCGGGGGACAACGGUCCGAAAGGACCGCUAAUACCGCAUACGUUCCCUGGGACCCUGGUCCCGGGGAGGAAAGCUCCGCAAGGGGCACUGGAUGAGGGGCCUGCGUAGCAUCAGCUAGUUGGUGGGGUAAUGGCCUACCAAGGCUAAGACGCUUAGCUGGUCUGAGAGGAUGAUCAGCCACACUGGGACUGAGACACGGCCCAGACUCCUACGGGAGGCAGCAGUGGGGAAUAUUGGACAAUGGGCGCAAGCCUGAUCCAGCCACGCCGCGUGAGUGAUGAAGGCCCUCGGGUCGUAAAGCUCUGUGGAGAGGGACGAAAACCCUGGUUUCAAAUAGGCUCCAGGCUUGACGGUACCUCUUUAGCAAGCACCGGCUAACUCUGUGCCAGCAGCCGCGG
Molecule: ribosomal RNA, 506 nt
Filed under: uncultured bacterium
Lineage: Bacteria
Description: bacterial SSU rRNA
Rfam family: Bacterial small subunit ribosomal RNA
Source: RNAcentral